This 201-nucleotide long non-coding RNA is filed under the name Elaeis guineensis (African oil palm). Its description in RNAcentral is "long non-coding RNA (EGUI_LNC054322)". The record is from RNAcentral. Lineage: Eukaryota; Viridiplantae; Streptophyta; Magnoliopsida; Arecales; Arecaceae.
CUGAGACUUACUCAGAGCAUUAUCCUGUGAUAAUAGGAAUCUCACUUUGCGACAUCGCUUCUUAUCCUCCCGAGUCUCUUAUCUCUUGCUUGAUCCACCUCUACCUGAAGCUCCAUCUCGCUCUGUGCUCCACCUGGCUCCUGAAGCUCUACCUCGCAUUGGGCUCCCCACUAGGUAAUAAUAUCCUCUUCUUUCUUUCUU